RNAcentral lists this ribosomal RNA (406 nucleotides) under uncultured bacterium. Its description in RNAcentral is "partial 16S ribosomal RNA". It matches the Rfam family "Bacterial small subunit ribosomal RNA", at positions 29 to 526 of the family's 1533-position model. The record is from RNAcentral.
AUUGAACGCUGGCGGCAUGCCUAACACAUGCAAGUCGAACGAGUGGCGGACGGGUGAGUAACGUCUGGGAAACCUCCCGAUGGCGGGGGAUAACUACUGGAAACGGUAGCUAAUUCCGCAUACCAUCAGAUGUGCCCAGAUGGGAUUGGCUUGUUGGUGGGGUAACGGCUCACCAAGGCGACGAUCCCUAGCCGGUCUGAGAGGGGGACCAGCCACAUUGGAACGGGGAAACGGGCCAGACUCCUACGGAGGGAAGCGGGGGGAAAUAUUGGACAUUGGGCGAAAGCCUGAGGCAGCACUGCCGCGGGGUGGAGAAAGGCCUUCGGGUUGAAAGGUCCGUUCAGCGGGGAGGCGGUACCGGAAUAGGAAGCAACGGCUAACUCCGUGCCAGCAGCCGCGGUAAUUC